GACGAACGCUGGCGGCGUGCUUAACACAUGCAAGUCGAACGGAAAGGCCCUGCUUUUGUGGGGUGCUCGAGUGGCGAACGGGGGAGUAACACGUGUGUAACCUGCCCUUGACUUUGGGAUAACUUCAGGAAAAUGGGGCUAAUAUCGGAUAGGAGCUCCUGCUGCAUGGUGGGGGUGGGAAAGUUUCGGCGGUUGGGGUUGGACUCGCGGCUGAUCAGCUUGUUGGUGGGGUAGGGGCUUACCAAGGCUUUGACGGGUCGCCGGCCUGCGAGGGUGCUGGGCCACAUCGGGGCCGAGUUCCGGCGGAGGCAGUUGCGGGUGGCAGCAGAUGGGAGUAUGGCUGAAGGGGCGGAGGCGUGUGGCAGCAGCGCCGCGUGCGGGAGGACGCCCUUCGGGUUGGAAACGGAGCUCGCCUGUGACGAAGUGUGGGUGACGGUACUGGGUAAAGAAGCACCGGCUAACUACGU
This 467-nucleotide ribosomal RNA is filed under the name uncultured bacterium. RNAcentral's name for it is "partial 16S ribosomal RNA". It matches the Rfam family "Bacterial small subunit ribosomal RNA", at positions 28 to 506 of the family's 1533-position model. The record is from RNAcentral.